RNAcentral lists this long non-coding RNA (336 nucleotides) under Carica papaya (papaya). Its description in RNAcentral is "long non-coding RNA (CPAP_LNC010868)". The record is from RNAcentral. Lineage: Eukaryota; Viridiplantae; Streptophyta; Magnoliopsida; Brassicales; Caricaceae.
CAUACUGAAGAUAAUGCAAGUGCUUUCAAAAUAAUUUCUUUCUAUAAUGAGUGGCACACAUAUCAAAAUCACAUUUCAAAAUCACAAAGCAAAAUAACACUUAUAUCAAAGUAAAACUUUAACAAAUACUUACUUAGCAAAUACGAAAGAUAAAUUAAACACUUGCACAUUUUUAUACUGAAAAUAUGUAGAAUACUUCAAAAUUACAUAGGCUAUGAAUCCAUAAUAUCUGCUUACCUUAGGUCCUUAGCAAUCGUAAUCAUAAUUCUAGUAAAGUUCUGACUUUAUUUAUGACUCUUUUGUCUAAAAAAUCCAGCGAAAUUUUGAGAUGAUUUU